CCUACGGGCGGCUGCAGUAAGGAAUAUUGGUCAAUGGAGGAAACUCUGAACCAGCCAUCCCGCGUGAAGGAUGAAGGGGCUCUGCCUUGUAAACUUCUUUUGUCUGGGGCGAAAAAGCUCGAUUUAUCGAGAACUGACGGUACCAGAAGAAUAAGCACCGGCUAACUCCGUGCCAGCAGCCGCGGUAAUACGGAGGGUGCAGGCGUUAUCGGGAAUCACUGGGGCGAAGGCGUCUGUGUACGUCUGUGGUGAAAGGAUGUGGCUUAACCAUGGAACUGCCAUUGAUACUGCAGAGCUUGAAUGAGGUUGAGGAUGGCGGAAUGUGACAUGUAGCGGUGAAAUGCUUAGAUAUGUCAUGGAACACCGAUUGCGAAGGCAGCUGACUGGACCUAUAUUGACGCUGAGGCACGAAAGCGUGGGGAGCGAACAGGAUUAGAUACCCGGGUAGUC
This 450-nucleotide ribosomal RNA is filed under the name uncultured bacterium. RNAcentral describes it as "partial 16S ribosomal RNA". It matches the Rfam family "Bacterial small subunit ribosomal RNA", at positions 338 to 795 of the family's 1533-position model. The record is from RNAcentral.